UCAACCUCUCUCUACAUUCCCAUUUCUACCUCUCAUGUUCAUCAAAUUAGUCUCUUUAAACAUCGCUGAUUACUUCGCGAUCGAAUGGCUGAAAAAUAGAAAUCCACAUCGGAGGAGGCGACCGUCGGGAAAUGAAAUGCGGUGAGUGGUUUCCAUGCAAUGUUUUGUCAAGUUAGCAGUCUGGCUUCUACUUUGCCUUUGCUUCAUUGUCUGUUCGACCUUGAACGUCUUUAAUGUUACUCUAAAACCCUAAUUUAAGUUAGAUAAUUUUCCUCUUAUACUAUUUUUUUUAUAAAUGGAUUUUUAAUCUUUUAAUUUGCCGAUUAUAUUAUGAUUAUUGUCACAAAAACUGAUUAUCUUUUCGCUUCUCCAUUUUUGAGUCGAUUUCAGUUUUCACCUACCUUUUCAAGAGUUAAUUAAACGUUGCCAAAUAUUUAAAUUUCCUCGAAUUUUCUCUCGAAUUAAUUAAAUGUAUGUUCAUGACUUCAUGACUUAUUCUUCUUCAAAAAUAGUUUGUAAUGAUUUAAAUUGUUAUUGUUAUAUAUAUACCCCAAUUUUUGUCGAACAUAUUUCAAGGUCGAGCAGCCUUCGAAUCUAAGGUAUAGCAAGCAAUGACUGAUAAUUUGCCAAGGAUUUGGCAUGGACACCAACGCCUUAUGCAACUGCAUACAGAGACGGAGCUAAGAAAUUAUCUCAGCGAGAAAAAUAAAUAUGAGAAAAAUUUGAGAAUUCAAGAAAGAGCAUUCAAUGCAUAGAUAAAAAUAAAUAAAUUUUAGAAGGAGUUGGGGAAAUUAAUAUGUGGGGGCAUAUGUCCCUCCUAACGAUAUGCUAGCUCCGCCCCUGACUAUAUACGUCUCACUAGUCACAUCCCCCACCCGAAAAUAGGAGCAAACGACCCCUUAAUUUUAGCAACUUCGAUUAACACUAUAUCAUUGUUUGUUCUAUGAUCCUCGUUUUAAAUACUGCAAAAGGUAAUAGUACUAAGAAGAAUUAUAUAUGUUCUUUUGUUAGCAUAUGGUAUUUUUCUUUUUUAAAAGUUCAUGAAUAAAUUUUAAAAUGAUGCCACGAUCUGACAAGGAUGUAAUAUAUUCUCCGUGUAAAGUUUGUACGUUAUUCUUCAUGCUCCAUUCAAAAUUGGGGUUCACAAAAUCCCAGGUUCCAUACUUUAAAUUGAAAGAGACUCAUUUUAAUCAAUUAUAAUAUUCUUUGAGAAACCUCUUUUUUCAAUCAAAAUGAAGGACUUAAUUAACCAAACUAAGUAAAAUCAAUAUCAAUUACAAUAAAUAUGGGGAAAUUUCGCAUAAAAGAGACUUAUUAUUAGAUCAAUUUAUGUUGUGGAUGAACUUAUAGUAAAAUAUGUUAAUUUUGGAACUUAUUAUAAUUCCCCAUUUUUUCUAAUAUAAGGAUACUUAUUGAAUAUAACGGAGUAGCAUCAUUUAUCACAUACAACAUCAUUUCCUCGAAUUAAAUAUGCAAAGCUAUCUCAUAGAUAUCACACCUGUAAAUAACCAACACGUCACUUCCUCAAUAAAUAUUUUUGGUGGGGGGAUAUUUGUACCUAAAUAUUGCUUAUAAAAGAAGAAUGCGUACUACCUCAACAUAAAUAGUCAGAUUUUUUUAUAGAAAUUAUAAAUCUUGAACCUUGAUUAAAUUCAUGCUUAGGUUAAAGAAGUGCGCCGCACACAUGAAAACGAAACAUAGAUUAUUUCGUUUGAAAUUGUAAUAGAUUUAGAGGUAGAAAUGAAUGGGUUGGUGAAAAUAUUGUGAAAAUUACAAAUGCACAAUCUUCACCGGUCGGUCAAACAUUGCAUCGAUUUUAACCAUUAGAUUAUUUCCACCCAACCCAAAUAUCUUUGGAGCUUUAUAUGUGUCCCUAUAAAUUCAACUCAUCUACAAUCAACAUGCUUCCAUGACUUUCUCUCUUUCUCACACACACAUCUUAUCUUGGACAAGGGGUUUUCUCGGAUGAUCGGUCGGAAGUUUGAGGUGAUCGAACGAUCAUGACGUGUAUUGAUGGCGUGAAACAUGUAAGCGAUUCCCGUAUUAUUCUUGUCAAGUCAGCCAUCGCCUUAAUUUUGCAGUUAGCCUUUGCUUCAUUGUCUGUUCGACCUUGAAAUUGAUAGAAAACCCUAAUUGUGACCUUAUAUUAUGCACAAGAUUUCUUCAAUUGUUGAAAUUUGGAUCAUGUAUAGAUUAACUAGUUCACAUGAAUGAAUUUAAGGUUAUGAAAUUCUUCUAAGUAUCGAUCGAAUAUCAAAUUAGGAAUCAACGAUCGAUUUGGAGACUAUAAAAUCAUAGAAAUUUCAAUCAAUAUAUAUAUGCACUACAUAUAACACUAUAUAUAAGUAGAACACUUAAAUUGUGAUAUAUAUAUAUGAAUGGAUGUGGAUGCUAUAUAUUGAAUCAUAAGAGGAAAUAUAUAUUUAUAAAGAUGAAGAAAUAAACAUAGAAUAUUUAGGAACUUGUAUUUUCUGACAUGGCUGAUCAUACAGAUUUUGCUUGGAUCCUUCUAGUAUUGAAACUGCUGUAUUUUUGUCAUCUACAUAAUAAAGCCAACUGUAAUUCUCACCUUUUUAUAAUUUCAACUUUCGGCCUUAAUCCACAAGCCCGGUCGAGCAGGAUUAGUCGAAUUCCGCCAAAAGGCGGAUUCGGUACACCUGUGGUUAAACCAAAAAAAAAACUAAAUAUCUCUACUAAAUAAUGAUAUGAAUACAUAGGUUGAUUGGUGUUGGUGUAGGGUAUGGGUAAAAGUGAUUCAUUUACUAUAGUUUUAAAUAGGGGGACCAUGGAAGCCCAUUGCAUAUUAAUGUGUUUCAAUUAAAGGUACCAAACUCUUUGGAAUUGAAUUUGAUGAAUAAAUCAAGAAUUGGGAGUGUUGGUGCAUGUAUCUUGAAAUAUAAAUAAAUAAAAAUUGGUGAUGAUUUAAAUCUCUGUAUAAAGUUUUUAUAUGAAAUGAGAGAUGAGAUUGAAAUAUGAGUAUGUGGUAGAUAGUUUGUAACAAUUAGGGAAUUAAAAAGGGUGUUUAAUUAAGAUUAGUUUAAGGUUGAACAGCAAUGAAGCUAAGUUAUAACUUGCAAUUGACUGCUGACUUUGCCAAGGUUAUGUAUGGAAAUCGAUUAAUCAAUCGAAUAAUCAAUUGCAGCAGAAAAGGGUAAGAAAUUUUGCAGUUUCAGAUUGUUGUAUAUUAUGUUUUUAAUUAAUUAUUUAUUUAUUUAUAGGGUAUGUAUGUACUAGAGUAAUAAUUUAAAAAUAUGAAAUUAUAUAUAUGGUAUUUCGUUAUACUUAGUUUCUAUAUCAUUGUGUGCAUGUAAUGUCUAUAUCAUGUACAUAUUGUGGAUGACCCUCGAUCGAUCGAUUUUGUUGUUAAUGGUGCACGACUUGUCGCUUUUGGGGGCGAUUUUUUUUAUUUCAUUUCGUUUUUUUUAUAUUUUAAAGAGUAGAUCUGAGCUAUGAGUUGUACAAAAUGUGGUACUCUCUACUCUAUUUAUAUGUACAAUAGUUUGUCAAUUAUAAAUGAAUUAAUAGGCAAUUACUACUAAAGAUGUUAGAACUUUGACCAAAAGAGCCAUGCCUAAAAAAAUCUAAAACUCGUGUUUCAUUUUGUUAGAAGGGCUUUAUUGUAAAUCCACAUUUAUUAGUUAAUUUGGAUAUAUUGGGAAUAUUAGGAACUUUCUUUUGAAUAGUAGUAUGAAUUAUGAACUACAUUGGGUGAAAGAUUUUGACUAAAUGAUAUAUCCAUGAUAUUUUUUUCCCGUGGAAUAAUGCAUAUGUAUAUGUAUACUAUGCAGACUUCAUGAUAAUGUGUUAUAGGCUGCAAUAGGGUUUUGGUUAUGAUCUCUAAUAUUUCACAUUGAUUAUGAAUGAUAACUUGUGUAAGUUUAUAGAUCAAAUGAGCUUUCUCUUAAGUCUUAAGAUACUAGUCUUUUGAAACAAAUUAUCUUGUUUGCCAGUGGGGAUGAGAUCUAGUAACCAAAACUAAGCUCCAUGAUCUUGAGUAAAUGUUCAAACACAUUUUGUAUAUGAUUUGUCUUUAUGCAAAUUAUUGAUUUAUUUACAAUAUCAAUUAAAAUGAACAUAUAUUACCAGAAAAAUAAUGAACUUUAAUCAAAUUUCAGUCCGUCCUGCAACUUUAUAAAAACCACGAACUUGAACAUUUUUUUUCAAUUAAUGUUUCAUGACGAAAUAUUCAGAUUUUAUUUUUGUAAUAUGUUGAUGAUUUGACGCACAUAUAUUUAUUUCCUAAGUUCGUUGAGAACAAUGAUAAAAUUCCACAGGCGAUCUAUUCCUUGUAGACCUUUUCGGAUGCCAAAUUAGAUACUCCCAAUUUUCACCCAAAUUAGACCAUGUGGGAAAAUUGACAAAAAUUUUAAAUUUAUGAUUUUUAUUGACGAUUAUUAAAGUUGACAAUCAUUAAAGUUGCGGGACCGAACCAAAAUUUUAUCAAAAUUCAAGAUUUUUUUGAAAUUUUGACCUUAAAGUAAUCAAUUUUUGUAUAUAUAGCAAUAGUGUUUGUUUUAAUAACCACCAUAUAUCGAUUAUACAAGAUCUAUACAUAUAUAUUGUAUAAUUGGUUUUAUAUCUUCUAUGAGGCACCGUACUUUCUUUGUAUUGUGUCAUUACACUAGUAUCAUUUUUUUCAUAUAUUGAUGUAGAAAACUAAUAAGCUAAUUGAGAGUAAAAACUAAAAACCCUAAGUUUACAUCACCUUCCGACGUAGGCACACAUGGUAAUAAACUUGUAAGCAGUAUUCUUAGAUUGUCUAAUGUUUUUUCUUGAUUGUUUCUUUUUAACUCAACACGAAAUUAAUGUGUGAAUGAAGAUAUUUUUUUGCAGCGGUGGCUUCGUGACAAGUGGAAUGCAAUGGGUGAAUUUAAACUAAGCGAAGAGAAGAAGAGAUGAUUUACUGAUUUAGAUGUUGAAUAAUCAUUUGGUUUAAUUCCUUUGUGUGCAAACUAAUUAAGUGGAGAUCUCAAUUCUCAAUACACUGAUGUUGAUGAUCUUAA
Salvia splendens (bonfire salvia) is the source of this 5003-nucleotide long non-coding RNA. RefSeq lists it as uncharacterized. NCBI's taxonomy places the organism in Eukaryota, Viridiplantae, Streptophyta, Magnoliopsida, Lamiales, Lamiaceae. The transcript has 2 exons. The record is from RefSeq and is a predicted model, not a curated record.